AUCACUUCUCAGCCUUUUGGCUAAGACCAAGUGUAGUAUCUGUUCUUAUCAGUUUAAUAAAUGUAAACCUAGAUAAAUGAUUAUUAAACCUAGAUAAAUGUAAAGUUAGGAUGUAUGUCAACUUCA
RNAcentral lists this small nuclear RNA (126 nucleotides) under Puma concolor (puma). RNAcentral describes it as "U2 spliceosomal RNA". It matches the Rfam family "U2 spliceosomal RNA". From Rfam's summary of the family: U2 is a small nuclear RNA (snRNA) component of the spliceosome (involved in pre-mRNA splicing). Complementary binding between U2 snRNA (in an area lying towards the 5' end but 3' to hairpin I) and the branchpoint sequence (BPS) of the intron results the bulging out of an unpaired adenosine, on the BPS, which initiates a nucleophilic attack at the intronic 5' splice site, thus starting the first of two transesterification reactions that mediate splicing. RNAcentral also lists the same sequence under 2 other names. Lineage: Eukaryota; Metazoa; Chordata; Mammalia; Carnivora; Felidae. The record is from Rfam by way of RNAcentral.